UACGAAGGGGGCUAGCGUUGUUCGGAAUUACUGGGCGUAAAGGGCGCGUAGGCGGUGUGUCAAGUCAGGCGUGAAAGCCCCGGGCUCAACCUGGGAACCGCGCUUGAGACUGGCACGCUAGAGUUCGGGAGAGGAUGGUGGAAUUCCCAGUGUAGAGGUGAAAUUCGUAGAUAUUUGGGGAAGAACACCGAUGGCGAAGGCAGCCAUC
This 208-nucleotide ribosomal RNA is filed under the name uncultured bacterium. RNAcentral describes it as "partial 16S ribosomal RNA". It matches the Rfam family "Bacterial small subunit ribosomal RNA", at positions 524 to 729 of the family's 1533-position model. The record is from RNAcentral.